This is a long non-coding RNA of Sinocyclocheilus anshuiensis, 404 nucleotides long. The record is from Ensembl. Lineage: Eukaryota; Metazoa; Chordata; Actinopteri; Cypriniformes; Cyprinidae.
UUAUUAAUUAGCAUUUAGGCCUAAUACAUUUCUGAUAUAUGUACAAUUUUAUAUGAUAGUCGGGUAAAUAUUGAAAUAAGAAGUUGAAAUUUACCAAAAAUGACGCAUUCUCCAGCUUCAUUGUGAAAAGAUCGCGAAGUGAAGUGUACACAGUGUGGUUUCUGUGGAUGGCCUGCGUUUCUUCAGCAGCAGCAGACUCCUCUGAGGAACUGGCCUGACUCAUCUGCAUCUGUGACAGGUCAUGUCCAUGAGUUGGAGUGGAUAACCCAAAGCGCCCAAACCGGCCCGCUAACACUGAAAUCCAUGUUUAAAGAUGCUGUCAGGUUUAAGAUGGAAAGGAAGCACAUGGAAAAGUUGCUACCAAGUAAUUUCAGUGCAAUAAACAUUGUUUUGAAUCACCUGCA